Cotesia glomerata is the source of this 386-nucleotide long non-coding RNA. RefSeq lists it as uncharacterized. The transcript is spliced from 2 exons. The record is from RefSeq and is a predicted model, not a curated record. Lineage: Eukaryota; Metazoa; Arthropoda; Insecta; Hymenoptera; Braconidae.
ACGUUAAUUGAUUCUAAUGAAUAUAUGUUAAUUAAAUAAUAAUAAAUAAUAGAUAAGGAUAAUCAUUGUUAACAACGAUCUGAUAUUAUAUUAUUAUGACUGUCUGUACCUCGACCAGGUUUUCUGCGGUUUCCCUAGCCGGCCGCAGCCGCAAAUAAUAAGUGUUAUAUAUAAAUAAGUUUAUAUAAGUACAUGUAAGAUAGUAUAUUACGCACUAUGUAUAAGGGUAGUUCUAGCAAUAGUAUAGGUGUAUACGUGUAACCAUAGUGGGGGAACGUGAAGCUGAGCAGUCAGAGUUGAGACUUUGUGACUUCACUUCUCCCCGAGAGCUGUAACUAUUCACUCCAUCUCUCCGAUUUCUAAAUAAACAUCAACAUUAAGUUCAA